UCUCAAGGUAACAUUAACACAAGUCUGGAUCUAAGUAACAUCAGGACAGCUUGAAUUUUAACCUGAGCUGGUAAUGAAUCAGGAUAUUAAAUUAAGUGCUACUUGAAGGAUGAAGAUACUACUGAAACUUGUAAUAAAUUUACACAGUCACCAUGGUGUUUGUUCUAUGUGUGCAAUUCAAGUAGCAGUAUCAGGAGUCUUUUCCUCCUGGAAGAGUGGAGAUCUGCUGAACAGGAUGUCGAGAGAAUAGAGCUUUGUCGAGCUCACUGGGGACCCUGUGUGCCAUGUGUAUGUCACAAGAUGCAUGUGAAGAGCAGUGACCCAGAAUCAUGUUUCUUCUCUCUUGCCUUUGGGAAAAAAAUAAAAACAAACACCUUGAUGUGCCUGUUAGGUCAAUUUUAUUUUCUGCAGGGAUUCAGCCUGCAGCAUGUGAGCUAAAGCAUGAGCUAAAGCAUUUGAAAAAACACAGUUCAAUGAACUUCAAACAGUCUAUUGAAAUCUAAAUUUACUAAGUGGAUUAGAUAGAAGAGGAGAGACAUAAAAUGCAGCCCAUUGAAGAGAAAAGGAUCCUCUCUUUUCCACAAGUUUCAUCAUUAUAUCUUCAAGAUUAUAUUAAUAUGAGCCAGCAGGAGUGUUGCUAGGAUCCCAAGAUGCGGCUGUCAAGUAACAUCUGCCAAAAAGGGGCUUGCUUCAUUACUUUCAAACCUUUCCAUUGCUCAUUAGGUCUCACCAGAUGGGGAUUCUGUAUUUUGAAGUCAGUCACCCUGUAUGAAGUAGUUUAUUCAUGACACUGAUGAACAAUUAUCUACCUGUACAGUUGGGACUUCUAGGCUGUUUAUUUCAACUGUGUCAGUACAGAGCACAACUUUAGCAUCUGAUGAUAAAAAAAUUGACAUACAGAGGGUCAGUUUGACUGAAUGGGUGCAUGAAUGAGAUCGAAAUUUUCCUAUAAUAAUUCUUAUAAUAAUUUCCCAGUAACAGAAUCCAUUGUAAUAACCCCUUGUAGGUUUUGCUACAUGAUUUUAUUUAUUUUACUCUUCAAGUACAGAAAAAUAAUAAGCUCAAAAAUGGUGUUCCAACCUAUCCAGUAGAAGAUGAACUGCUGUGCAUAAUAACUGUUGUAUUUCUGUUGGUUGAUAAAUGUUUAAUGGUUUGUUAGGAAACUAAUUGUCAGUUUAAAUCAGGAGAGUGACAAUAAUAACUCAUUUAAAUAUUCACAUUGUGACCUGCAAAGGCAGCUAUAAACAUAAUUCAUUCUAAUUUCUGUGUAUAGUUGAUGGGUACAAAUAUAUGGCAAUCCCCUUGAAAAAAGUUCUGAUCUCUAUUGUAAUGUUUCAUUUGUAUUUUCUGUUCUUCACAACUCUUGUUAUAAAUAGAAUCAACCAAAAGAUUGUUAUGUGCAUCAUGUGAAUAACUUGUGGGGCUUUAUAUGGAUGACUCUAUGCAGUAUCAGAAUUUAAAAUUGUUAAAAAACCUUGAAUGAUAAUUUAAGCCAUCUUUAUUUGCCCACAUCUUACAAUUAAACCAAACCAGAUAGGAAAAACAAGUGUCUUUGCAUGUACAAACACAUAUAUGUGUACACAAGAACAGAAAAUCCACAGUGGAAAUAUAUUUAAAAAAACAAAAUUAAGCCAAGCUAAAAUAACUUCCUCUGGUAUCAAAAAUACUCAUAUUUCAAGACCAAAUGUUGUCUCACUCUCUUCUGAAUUCUCAGUGAACUAUAUUUUCUUUGACUUCAACAGUAAAAUGCCUCUAAGGAGAUUUUAGAAGAUAACCCUGAGGUAUCUGAGUCACCAUGGACAGCAGGAGGCAAGCAAGGUUUUCACUGAAAAUGUAGGCAUAACAUAAUUGUAAACACCAUUUUGGAAAAUAUACUGGUGUACUUAAUUAGCUGCAGCAAGACACUGAAAUUUUUAAGGUCCUUACUUGCCCACAGUGAAGAAACUGGAGGAGGAGGUCUUUCCAAAAGCCCUCUUAUCCCUUCCUGGGAUGACUGGCCAGUGGUUUCUUUCAGCAGUACAGGGAUUUGCACACUCAUUUAUGCCCCUUUUCAGGAACUUUUCAAUUGACUGCGUAGGGAAAAGAGGGGUAAGGCUUCCCUUGUCUUACAGUAUGAUGAGAAUUGAGGCCAAGGUAUGAAAAAUUAAAGCUGUCAACUUCCUCCCUUGUUUUCCAAGAAACUUGGAGUACCUACAACAAAGAGCUUGCCCUGCAGUUCUACUCUGAGCAGAUGUUGAGUAGAAACUUUUUUUUCCAUUUCUUUUUUCUCCCUCUUAUAUGCUUGCCUAACCAACUCUGAUGCCUCUGAUAUUGGAGAACUAAUUUUGUGGUCUGAGGGGGAAAAGAAAAGUCUUUACUUAAAGUUCUGGAAUUAAAUAGUUCAUUACAAAUCUUGUAAUAAAUGUUAUUUUUCUUAAGGAACUCUGAGGUCAAUCGAGGUUUUCAAUUUAAAUCAUUUGAGGAAUCUUUGAGGGAACACAUUUUUCCAGCAAAAUGUCAUUCUUACAGACUAGUAUUUCUGUAUGGUCAGCUAGUAUAUUAAUUCAAACAUACAAGAACCUUAAAAGUAUUAUUAGAGCAAAGUCUAAAUCACUUGAACCUGAACAUUUCUCUGAAACAUGAUGGAAAUUCUUCUCGAGUUUAGGUUUUAAGUCUGCGAGAAUUUCCCACACAUUUUCUGAAGUUCCAAGGUCAAUGUAAUUCUUAGGAUAAAAAGUAAGGGUAGAAAGGAUUGUUUGUCAUAUCACAGAACCACAUAAUCUGCUAAGUUGGAAGGUACCCACUGGGAUCACUGAUAUACCUUGGCUGAGAGUGCUCUACCUCUUUUGAAAAUGAGGUAAAAAGCAGUAC
Molecule: non-coding RNA, 2850 nt
Organism: Cyanistes caeruleus (blue tit)
Lineage: Eukaryota; Metazoa; Chordata; Aves; Passeriformes; Paridae
Source: RefSeq, a predicted model, not a curated record